Long non-coding RNA from Prionailurus viverrinus (fishing cat), 5108 nucleotides. RefSeq lists it as uncharacterized. The transcript is spliced from 9 exons. The record is from RefSeq and is a predicted model, not a curated record. NCBI's taxonomy places the organism in Eukaryota, Metazoa, Chordata, Mammalia, Carnivora, Felidae.
UCUUAAAGGGAAACGACUUGGAGCUCACGUAGGCAUACGAGAAUGAAACUUCUGUACAUUUUAAUCUGAAUAAUUCUUCAGGAUUUAAAAUUAAUUGGCUGUAGCUUGGUUGGACCGGACUCGGAUCUCGCCACCGCUGCGUUUCCCGAGUCACUGGCGGGGAGAGGUGAUCUUCUUUUUUUUUUUUUUUUUUUUUUUUUCCUCCCUGAACUGGGUUUAUGUGCGUCCCCCUCACCCCCUCCUCUCUUUUUCUUUCUCUGUCUCUGUCGUCUCUCUCGCUGGCUUUUUAAAAAUGAGGAACCGUUCCUUGAAUGUUCUGGACAGAGCACAGAAUUGCUUCUUAAGUCAGCCCGACGCGGUUGCAAUAGACAGCCAAAAGGUAAACGUUUGCCUGAAAUCCGCACGCCAGUUCCGCCACCCCGCCCGAUGGUCUCGUUUCCUCUGGGAUUGCUCCUGAGCGGGCUGUCUUCAUGCCAGGGGCGGGCAGUCGAAUCGCUGGCCUUCACGGGACCACUGGACAUCUGGCAGAAAACAGGAAGCCGUGACUUCACUCAGCCGGAAAACUACGAGAUAAAGAAAGAGGAAGGUUCACUGGAUUAUCUGAGGUCGGACUGCUGGGGUGAGAGUUGAACCCCAUCCUGGUUGACGACAGAGUUUACACUCUUAUCAUUCCUCAUGACGUGUGGAUAAUUUUAUUUUUUAAUGCUUAUUGAUUUAUCUUGAGAUAACAAGAGAGAGCGUGCACCCAUGUGUACGCGGAUAAGGAGUGGAGAGAGAGAAUCCCAAGCAGCCUCCCCACCGUCAGCACAGAGCCCUACGUGGGGCUCGAUCCCACGAACCGUGAAAUCAUGACCUGAGCUGAAAUCAAAAGUCGGGACGCUUAAUCGACUGAGCCACCCACGCAUCCUUUAUGCGGAUAAUUUUAAGUAAAAAACAAAUAUUAGCCACCCAACCCCCCCCCCCCCCCCGCAACAGACCCUGGAAAGAAGCCCCCAAACUCCAAACCCAAAACAAGCCAGCAUCAACACACACAAAUCUGACAAACUUUGCUCUUCUGGUAAUCACACUGAAAAGUACAUAGCAAAGCUUAGACCAAGAGAACGCGCCAAAGUUGAAAAAGCUCAUCUGCAACCAGCCAAUAACAUGCCAGAAUGUUCUUUGGCCCCCGACGUGGGGGGGGGGGUGUUGUUUCGCUGGUGCUCCAGACGCCCCUACGGUUUCUUUGGAGCCUCGUCUACACCUGCGACACUAAGGUUUGUGAAGUCACUCGAGUCUCAUGAAGGAUUUAGUUGCACCGCGUUGCCGUGAAUGCUUGGAUUUGGACGCAAGGCUCACGACUGCCUUCUGGAUUUUCCAUGGUAGGGUGAAAAAAAAAAUGCGCGACACACAUCACCAAGAAUCCAUGUCUGUGCCUGGCAGUGUAAUCGAAAAAAGCUUUGGAAUGCGAGUGGACGGCAUUAUGAAUAGCUUUCCUUAGCGCACCUGCAGAAAGGCACUACCUUUAGACACACCUUUGCCAAGCGCGUGUGCGUAAGGCACAGUGUUAGACGGAUGUGACAAAUGGGUGGGUGAUGCCUUUGUAGAAGAUUCUCCCAGGACUCUGAUGGGCUGAGGUUUAGAGAUGCCCGUACAUCCUCCGGGCGCUAAGAAGUUGACAGCCGGGGCCCGAUAUCAGCCCAUGAAAUAUUUUCAUCAUCAGGAUGAAGAAAAUUAUUUUGCACCGUUUCUGUUGUUCGGAAGUGGAAACAUUUUCGGGUGUGAAUCCCCCAAAGGACUUUCUGUGGCCUCCCUACCUCUUAUCCGGGAUUGUGCAGUAUGGAGUCAGAAACGCCAUGGGAAGAAGUCGUUGGGCUGCCUUCUCCAGGAGCUUUCCCUGGGCAGUCGUCUCUGCCCAUGUUACGGAAGACGGCAAAAAUCCGAGCCAUCAUGCAUCUGGCCAAUUAUGCAAUGCUCCGUUGCGAGGGGAAAUUUCUUCCUCACCCCAGCUGGUGAACAGUUAUGCCCUGGAGCCCAGGACGGCCAUGCCUUGUAACUUUUUAACCUAGUUAGCGUAACUGCCAAUAUUAUUCCUAUUCAUAUAAAUGUCUAAUCCUUUCUUGAAUCUUGCUAGACUAUUUGCCUCAAUAAUACCCUGCGGCAGUGAAUUCCACAGGUAGAUUAUAUGCUGUUUUAAGAAGUAUUUCCUUUUUUUUUUUCAUUUUAAAUUUGUUACCUUUUAACGUCACAGGAUGGCCUUGUUCUUGCAUGAAGGGGCCCGGGGUCCAGGCGUUUCAAGUUCUGCUUUAAUUUUUCCAAGCCCUUCGCCAUCAUUAGAACUCUGUCUUCGUCAGGUAUUUUCGGUUUUGGUGUAUCCGAUCUUGAUUAAACGAGAUGAUUGAUGUGCAUAGUCUCAUAUGGCUUUGGCACAUAGUAGGCACCGGAAAAAAGCUCUCCUUGGUAUUCAUUCCACUUACUGGACAGCUUUUUUUUUUUUUUUGAGUACCUACUGCGUGCAGGAAUCAUUGUAAGUACUGGAGAGACAGCGUUGAAUGAGACAGGGUCCUUGUUGGAAGGACCCAAUUUCCUAGAGAAGAUGAGCAGCGACGUAGUGAACGAAGAUGAACGACAGGGUCUCCAGUCGUCGUAAGUACUAUGGGAAAAUUAGAGAAGAGUGGUUGGCAGAGGAUGGAAGGGGCCCCAUGAGAUUGCACCGUCAGGGAGUAACUCACUGAAAAGGGGCCGGUUGAGCUGGCCCUCAAGGAAGCAUCGGUGUGAAAUCUCCAUGAAGGUGAACCCAUGCUCCCAGACAAUGCCUGGCAGGAGGUGCCGUCUGUCUGGCGUGUCGCAGGGCCAUGGCCCCGGUGUGCCCAACGCCCAGCAUCUCCGUCGGAUACAGUUUUGACAUCUUCGCGGUGAGGCCUCGUUCACACCCGCGGACUUUCAGGCGGGAUAUGUUGCUCAGCUGCCCACCUUUGUCUGGGUCUAUAUUAAUCUGGAGAAAUGCAUUGACCAUCAGUGUUAAGGCACAUCUCUCACUGGUGACUAAGAAAAUAAUCAAUCCUAUAGCAAGUACCAACUGGAGACACGAGACACAAAGAUGGCGACAUUGACUCUGCUCUCAAGGAACUCCUGGAAGGAGACAGAAGAAGAAUCAACACGGAGAGUUGUAUACCACGGAGCAAAUGAAACAGCCCCCCAUUACUGAGCGCUAACAGGGUGAGUCUCUCUAGCUGAAGACAUCUACUGAAGAGAGUCCAGCUAAUUACGUGCAAGGAUUAACUUCUCAAGGACCCAGAAAAAGUAAUCUCUACCCUCAUCGUGGGACUCGAACUCAUGACCCUGAGAUCAAGAGUAGCAUGCUCUGCCGACUGAGCCAGCCAGGUGCCCUCCUCCAAUCUUGUGUCUUAAGGAUGAAUUUUUCAUAACCUCUUUACUUGCGCCGACGUUCCAUUUGUGUUGGGAAUAAUUCUUGGAGCCCUUUCGAAAUCCUUAAAACGGGACGGUCAAAGCGUGGCAAGGCCGUACGAACCUUGGACGUGAAAAGACCCCAGACUGAGUUUCAAUGUGGCCAGACUAGGUGUUGGAUCUCCGACACGUCAGUGACACUUGUAAGCCUCAACUUUCCCCUACGGAAGAUGAGAACGACAGUUCCUACCUCAUGGAAAUUGCGUGUACUAACGUAGCUGACGUAUUGAAGACAUUAAUGUAGAACUUGCUGGAUCACAGCUCAUGGGGGACAGAAGUAGAAAGUGGGAGAGAAGGCCCGGUGGCUUUGCGACCCCUCUCUAUCAUCGCCACCCUGUCCCUUCUGCCCGUUUUUAUCAACAGUGCUGUAAACAUGGGCAUCAGACGGAUUCUCGCGUGUUCUCCUUGUUUCUGCCUGACACACUCCCCGUGCAUCUUGUCAGAGACCACUCUAAAUCUGGAACCUCAGAACCUGAAGAAAUGAAGUCUUCCCUCAAAAAGUGCGGCUUCAACAGAGGAAGUCACUCUUGGCGUUCCAUUUGGUGAAGUGCCAUCCUGAUGCAAUGCACGACACUCUGGAGGCUGCACAUAGUGGAUCCCGCCUCCGAAGGGCCCAGCCCGCCCCGGGAUUAGUCACUUGGCUAUCUCGCUGGGCAGCUAGUAAUUCAGAGAUAAUCAUGUUACCCAAGAUGCCAUUUAAUCUGUAUUUGGCAUAUCUCGAGUUUUCAUCUUCAUUAAUAGAGCCAUCAAAGUUUUCAUUGGGCCUGACUGGUAUUGGGAGCACUAGUGAUUCACCCAGGGGGGGCGGGGGGUUGCAGUUUGCAUGGAGAAACUCUGCUUGCCAGAUGGCUGCUGUUAAUCUGCUUGCAUCAGGAGUGUGUGUGUGUGUGUGUGUGUGCGUGCCUGCGUGGAGGGGGAGGCUAAGCUCUCCUGGUCCCCAGCCAGUAGGACUGUCCCUCACCUCUGAUUACACAUCGCUGCCGGCCAAGCCUAGGAAACCUGGUCCCUUGCGGCAGGGUGGGCUCGCCACUCCCUCCUGACUUGAAGGGAGCUUGAGGGAGUGGGUGCCAGACAAAGGGAAGGCCUUGCUGCCUCCAGCCUAGGCCAUCCAAUCAAACGAUUCCUGUGGAAGGCAGUAUAGUACAAUGGAAGGGUGCUAACCUGGGAGUCAGAGAAACUUGGCUUUAAACCCUGACUCUAUACUUAACUGGCGACGUGAAGUUACACACAUCGCGUAACCUCUUGGAGCCUCAGACUCUCCCCUUUACAUGAUAUGAACCUGAUGGCGUCACCCUGGUAGGUUUCCCACAAAGGAGUCACAACCGGGGAGCCGGAUGGAGACCCAUCCUUUAGUCCCAUGACCUGACUGUCCCACGUCUGAGUGUAGAGCCCGGGGAAGCUCUGAUCAGGUCCCCGUGGGGAGGCUGGAUGAAGAGGCUCAUCGCAGUGUUGUUUGUGGUAAUGGGGGUGAUGGAAUCUCAGGGUUCAUCAGGGAGCAGGACAGAUAAUGGGAUGCCAAGGAGGCUUCUCACGCCACACCAUAGAACCGCGUGAAGUGAUAGAGAUGAAUCUUAAAGACCGUGCUGGGAAAGAGAGAAAGAAGGAAAGAAGGAGGAAGGGAAGAAAGAAAGAAAGGAAGAAAGAAAGAAAGAGGAAAGAAAGAG